Molecule: ribosomal RNA, 2916 nt
Filed under: Vibrio parahaemolyticus
Lineage: Bacteria; Pseudomonadati; Pseudomonadota; Gammaproteobacteria; Vibrionales; Vibrionaceae
Description: 23S ribosomal RNA
Rfam family: Bacterial large subunit ribosomal RNA
Source: RNAcentral
GUUGUAUGGUUAAGUGACUAAGCGUACACGGUGGAUGCCUUGGCAGUCAGAGGCGAUGAAAGACGUAGUAACUUGCGAUAAGCCCAGAUUAGGUAGUAACAACCAUUUGAGUCUGGGAUUUCUGAAUGGGGAAACCCACGUGCAUAAGCACGUAUCCUUACCUGAAUACAUAGGGUAAGGAGGCGAACCGGGGGAACUGAAACAUCUAAGUACCCCGAGGAAAAGAAAUCAACCGAGAUUCCGAAAGUAGCGGCGAGCGAAAUUGGACUAGCCCUUAAGCUUUACACGCGUUAGACGAACGGUCUGGAAAGUCCGACGAUACAGGGUGAUAGUCCCGUAGUUGACGACGUGUGUUCAGUGAAAUCGAGUAGGGCGGGACACGUGAUAUCCUGUCUGAAUAUGGGGGGACCAUCCUCCAAGGCUAAAUACUACUGACUGACCGAUAGUGAACCAGUACCGUGAGGGAAAGGCGAAAAGAACCCCUGUGAGGGGAGUGAAAUAGAACCUGAAACCGUGUACGUACAAGCAGUAGGAGCAGGCUUUGUCCUGUGACUGCGUACCUUUUGUAUAAUGGGUCAGCGACUUAUAUUCAGUGGCAAGGUUAACCAUCUAGGGGAGCCGUAGGGAAACCGAGUCUUAACUGGGCGUUCAGUCUCUGGAUAUAGACCCGAAACCAGGUGAUCUAGCCAUGGGCAGGUUGAAGGUUGAGUAACAUCAACUGGAGGACCGAACCGACUAAUGUUGAAAAAUUAGCGGAUGACUUGUGGCUAGGGGUGAAAGGCCAAUCAAACCUGGAGAUAGCUGGUUCUCCCCGAAAGCUAUUUAGGUAGCGCCUCGGACGAAUACUACUGGGGGUAGAGCACUGUUAAGGCUAGGGGGUCAUCCCGACUUACCAACCCUUUGCAAACUCCGAAUACCAGUAAGUACUAUCCGGGAGACACACGGCGGGUGCUAACGUCCGUCGUGGAGAGGGAAACAACCCAGACCGCCAGCUAAGGUCCCAAAUUACUACUAAGUGGGAAACGAUGUGGGAAGGCUCAGACAGCCAGGAUGUUGGCUUAGAAGCAGCCAUCAUUUAAAGAAAGCGUAAUAGCUCACUGGUCGAGUCGGCCUGCGCGGAAGAUGUAACGGGGCUAAGUAGUAAACCGAAGCUGCGGCAAUGUGCUUUUGCACAUUGGGUAGGGGAGCGUUCUGUAAGCGGUUGAAGGUGUGUGGUAACGCAUGCUGGACGUAUCAGAAGUGCGAAUGCUGACAUGAGUAACGAUAAAGGGGGUGAAAAACCUCCUCGCCGGAAGACCAAGGGUUCCUGUCCAACGUUAAUCGGGGCAGGGUAAGUCGACCCCUAAGGCGAGGCCGAAAGGCGUAGUCGAUGGGAAACGGGUUAAUAUUCCCGUACUUCUUACAAUUGCGAUGGGGGGACGGAGAAGGCUAGGUGGGCCUGGCGACGGUUGUCCAGGUUCAAGUGCGUAGGCUUGAGAGUUAGGUAAAUCCGGCUCUUUUUAAGGCUGAGACACGACGUCGAGCACCUACGGGUGUGAAGUCAUUGAUGCCAUGCUUCCAGGAAAAGCCUCUAAGCUUCAGAUUGUAAGGAAUCGUACCCCAAACCGACACAGGUGGUCGGGUAGAGAAUACCAAGGCGCUUGAGAGAACUCGGGUGAAGGAACUAGGCAAAAUGGUACCGUAACUUCGGGAGAAGGUACGCUCUUGAUGGUGAAGUCCCUUGCGGAUGGAGCUGACGAGAGUCGCAGAUACCAGGUGGCUGCAACUGUUUAUUAAAAACACAGCACUGUGCAAAAUCGUAAGAUGACGUAUACGGUGUGACGCCUGCCCGGUGCCGGAAGGUUAAUUGAUGGGGUUAGACUUCGGUCGAAGCUCUUGAUCGAAGCCCCGGUAAACGGCGGCCGUAACUAUAACGGUCCUAAGGUAGCGAAAUUCCUUGUCGGGUAAGUUCCGACCUGCACGAAUGGCGUAAUGAUGGCCACGCUGUCUCCACCCGAGACUCAGUGAAAUUGAAAUCGCUGUGAAGAUGCAGUGUACCCGCGGCUAGACGGAAAGACCCCGUGAACCUUUACUACAGCUUGGCACUGAACAUUGACCCUACAUGUGUAGGAUAGGUGGGAGGCUUUGAAGCAGGUACGCCAGUAUCUGUGGAGCCGUCCUUGAAAUACCACCCUUGUAGUGUUGAUGUUCUAACGUCGACCCCUUAUCGGGGUUGCGGACAGUGCCUGGUGGGUAGUUUGACUGGGGCGGUCUCCUCCCAAAGAGUAACGGAGGAGCACGAAGGUGGGCUAAUCACGGUUGGACAUCGUGAGGUUAGUGCAAUGGCAUAAGCCCGCUUGACUGCGAGAAUGACAAUUCGAGCAGGUGCGAAAGCAGGUCAUAGUGAUCCGGUGGUUCUGAAUGGAAGGGCCAUCGCUCAACGGAUAAAAGGUACUCCGGGGAUAACAGGCUGAUACCGCCCAAGAGUUCAUAUCGACGGCGGUGUUUGGCACCUCGAUGUCGGCUCAUCACAUCCUGGGGCUGAAGUCGGUCCCAAGGGUAUGGCUGUUCGCCAUUUAAAGUGGUACGCGAGCUGGGUUUAGAACGUCGUGAGACAGUUCGGUCCCUAUCUGCCGUGGGCGUUGGAAGAUUGAAGGGGGCUGCUCCUAGUACGAGAGGACCGGAGUGGACGAACCUCUGGUGUUCGGGUUGUGUCGCCAGACGCAUUGCCCGGUAGCUAAGUUCGGAAUCGAUAACCGCUGAAAGCAUCUAAGCGGGAAGCGAGCCCUGAGAUGAGUCUUCCCUGAUACUUUAAGUAUCCUAAAGGGUUGUCGGAGACUACGACGUUGAUAGGUCAGGUGUGUAAGUGCUGUGAGGCAUUGAGCUAACUGAUACUAAUUGCCCGUGAGGCUUAACCAUACAACACCCAAGGGGUUU